AUGGGGUCUCAGGCUCAGCUGUUCUGCCUCCUGCUUCUCUGCAUCCCAGGUUCCAGAGGGGCCAUUGGAGUGACCCAGUCUCCAUCCUCCCUGGCUGUGUCUCCAGGAGAGAGAGUCACCCUGUCCUGCAGGGCCACUCAGAGUAUUAGUAAUAACAUACACUGGUACCAACAGCGCCCAGGCCAGUCUCCCAGGCUCCUCAUUUACUGGGCCUCCAACCUACACUCUGGGGUCCCUGCCCGGUUCAGUGGCAGUGGCUCUGGGACAGAUUUCUCUCUUACCAUCAGUGCUGUGGAACCAGAGGACAUCGGACACUAUUACUGUCAGCAGAGUAAUAAUUGGCCUCGCUGCACUUUUGGUGGUGGCAAAAAAAUUGGA
Monodelphis domestica (gray short-tailed opossum) is the source of this 378-nucleotide non-coding RNA. The record is from the annotation of a RefSeq genome assembly. NCBI's taxonomy places the organism in Eukaryota, Metazoa, Chordata, Mammalia, Didelphimorphia, Didelphidae.